AGUAGUGUAUGCUUCUCCUAAAGACUAAGCCAUGCAUGUCUUCGAAUAAGAGGAAGCAAUUCUCUCUGAAUCUGCGAACGGCUCCGCAAACCAGUUGUAAACUAUAGCAAGCAAGCUCGGGUUUCUCUUCACGGGGAGGCUCGGGCGAUACGGAUAACCCUGGUAAUUCUGAGGCUAAUACGAGAACGCAAUACUUGGCUAACCGGGUAACUGGAAGGCUGAGAGGCGUGCACGUUGUGUCGCGAGAAAUCGCCGGGAAUGGAUGCAUGCCUGGACCGCGCCAAAGACAGAUGGGUGUUGCCUUGCCUUCACGGGUCGGGUAGUGCCUGCCUGAGCGGCUCUUGCUGUGUGCUUCUGACCUAUCAACUAGACGGCAGCGUAAAGGACAUGCUAUGGUUACAACGGGUACAGAGGAUUAGGGUUCGAUCCUGGAGAGUGGGCCUGAGAGAUUGCUCAUACUUCUAAGGAAGGCAGCAGGCGCGCAACGUUCCCCUUGUGCAAUGCAUGAGGGCGUUAGGGGACAUAUGGAUGCCUGCCCAUUGGGUGGGCAAUUCAAAUGGGUCUGUUGUAAACAGGCUC
Molecule: ribosomal RNA, 579 nt
Filed under: Didymium aff. nivicola
Lineage: Eukaryota; Evosea; Eumycetozoa; Physariida; Didymiaceae
Description: SSU rRNA
Rfam family: Eukaryotic small subunit ribosomal RNA
Source: RNAcentral